Sander lucioperca (pikeperch) is the source of this 251-nucleotide long non-coding RNA. RefSeq lists it as uncharacterized. The record is from RefSeq and is a predicted model, not a curated record. The transcript is spliced from 2 exons. NCBI's taxonomy places the organism in Eukaryota, Metazoa, Chordata, Actinopteri, Perciformes, Percidae.
CAGAAGGGGAGACAUUUGGUCGCAUAUUAAGUUGGUGACACUAAUCUUGGGUGCCCACCUUGAAACUGGGAGUUGUACAGACCUGUGUGUGUGUGUGUGUGUGUGUGGGGGGGGGGGAGAAUAAAAAAGAGAAGGAAACAUUGAGAUCUCACAAGUCAGCGACAGUGGGUAUUACAGGUAUUUGACUCACUGACAACUUACUGUAUCACUAUUAUGGCAGGUCAACUACACUGUAACGUCAUAAUGUUCUG